Long non-coding RNA from Mus musculus (house mouse), 3284 nucleotides. RefSeq annotates it as predicted gene, 30692. NCBI's taxonomy places the organism in Eukaryota, Metazoa, Chordata, Mammalia, Rodentia, Muridae. The record is from RefSeq and is a predicted model, not a curated record. The transcript has 2 exons.
UGAUCAGACAAUUAGCUGGGCAGGAAGGCAUAGGGCAGAACUUCUGACUACAAUGGGGGAGGUCCUAAAGAGUUGAGAGGGAAGGUGGGAGAGGAAGAGAGAGAGAGGGAGAGAGAGAGGGAGAGAGAGAGAGGGAGAGAGAGAAAGAACUGUGGAGAUGUCGCAAGGAUGGCAGGGCCACCUCUAUAUAAACACUGGGGGCCGCUUAGCCACAAAAGCAUCUCCUGCAGGAGGAUCUAAUUGAGGACUUGCCUGAAAAACCAAGGAUUGCCGUCACAGACAAUGCCAGCCAAUCGGGAACUGCUGUUUAGAAGAGAUGCUUUCCUGGGCGCUGAUGGAGAGUAGUAAAGGAGCUUGCAGCGGUGCUCAGAUGAGUUUGCUACUGCCCUGUUUCUCACAGACUCCCAGAGUCUGUGUCAUUGACUCUGUGCCAUAUCACCUCCAACCUCUCAUCUCACCCGAGGGCAGGUAGGGCCAAGUGGUGAGUAAUCCAGGGUGCAGGCGACAUGGAGAGACCAUGUGGGUGGACCAGGAAGAUUGGCCAUGAGGUCACCACCAUGAGAGAAUAGCCAUGACAGGCACACAUGGACUAGAGACCAGAUGUCCAGUAAUGGGGCAUUUUGCUGGUUAGUAGCAUCUUAGUCUGGUUAAACACCCUUGUCCGUUGGGGUCAAAGGAUGCCUAAGAAAACCCCCAAGAAUUACAUUUACACCCCACCCUGGCCAGGUCCUAGAUGAUAUAAAAAACCAGACUGAGCAAGCAAUGAGAAGCAAGCCAGUAAACUGCACUCCUCCAUGGCCUCUGCAUCAGCUCCUGCUUCCAAGGUUCCUGUCCUGUUUGAGUUCCUGUCCUGUCUUCCCACCGUGGUGGACUAUUAUUACUGGCAAGUAUAAGCUGAAAUAACCACUUUCUGGUCACUUGUGUUUAUCAUAGCAAAAGAAACCCUAAGACACAUAAGUAAUUUCUUUACAUCUCAGGUUGUUCUAAUUUGCUUAAUUGCAGAAAGGCCAAAGUCCUCAUAAAGGUCUUCGGUAGACAUUGGUAUCAUAAGGAAACAUCAGUUCUUGUUUAAUAGUGUCAUAGGCCAUUGCUUCUGUUUGCCUUUCUGUUUGGUGGAUUUACUUGUUUUUUGUGUGUAUGUCCUAACUAGAUUGAGGUCUUCCUAACUAACAAUUAUCCGGAUUUGGUAACUCAUUGGUGCCGAGUAGAACGAAUCAUACCUGUCCACUGGAGGAAUUGAUGGCUCGGGUCUGUGGACUGAAACAGCUGUGGGGCAGGGGAGAGACUUAUGUUUGCCUCACACAAAACCUCUUACCUGCUUCCUGAGAAUCAAUAUAGGCUUGAUGAAUUCUUCAAUUCUUUAGAUUUUAAUAUUGUUUUUCCCUUUAUAAAAAAGAAAUUGAGAUUCCCAUCUUGUGGUGAAGACCAAAUGUUACCUACACCCCUGGGCCAACACUAUUCAUAUUUCUGCAGUAAUUCAGGCUUUUCCCGCAGUCUUCCUACAUAGUUAACUCUUGGUUGCCCAGGAGUAAUCUACUUUUCGUGGAUUUUUGUUUGAGUCCUUGAUAGAAUUGUGUUUGAGUCCUUGAUAGAAUUGUGUAGAUUUAAGUCCUCCAUCAGUCCCAGGAGAAUUCAGUCUAAUCGUAUCUCUUAAAAAAAAAAAAAAUCACGUCUCUUGGAAAAGAAGUCUAUGUAUGAUAUGCAUGACAGUUUCUUAAGAAAGAGUUGAUAAAAGGUUCUGUCUUUGUCCCCAUUCUUAGCUGCUGGAUAGAGACGAUCCUGAGAAUGGACACCAGCCAGAUACCAAGUCACUGGGUCCAAUAAUAUCCUUAUGUUUCUAGUGUAAACUGACUAUAUCCAAUGACUGUGGUAUAGGAAUAGCUAAGCAUGCCCACUCUCCAUGAGUCCCUUAUGCAAGUGUUUGUUAUUGGACUGGACAUAGCAGACUCUAAUUUCUAAAAGAGUUAAGGGAAGAUAUUUCUAGAAAAAUACCUGUAUAAUGUUACCAGAAAACAGCCACAUCUUUUACAAGCAGGUGUCACCUGAUCAAGGGACCCAUUUCAAGAUGUCGUUCUGAGAUUUUUGUCAUUGUGUGAAUGACAUGUCACUGACUUACUAGUCAAUGUUAGACUCAGCUGUCAACUUGAUGCACACCUAGAGGCACCUGGGAAUAGGGAGCCUCAAAUGAAGAGCUGCCUAGAACAAGACUGGCCCUUAGCCAUGUUUGGGGGCCAGUUUCAAAGGGAUGCGGGAGAGUCCAUCCCAGGGAUGUAGGAUGAGGGGCCAGCCCAGUGAGCUUGGGGUGUAUAAAAAAAUCAACCGAGCAAGCCAUGGAGAGCAAGCCAGUAAACCAUGUUUCUCCGUGGCCUGUGCUUCAGUUCCUGCCUCCAGGUUCUUCUCUAAAGUACCUGCCUGGCUUUCCUCCAGGAUAGACUGUAUCCUGUGAGCCCAGAUUGAUGUUGGUCUUUGUUUUAUCACAACAACAAAAGAGAAAUGCACUAUAUUACUUAGCUCUGGAUAUUAUAGCCUUCUACACAACAUGAAAGUAAUACUGUGUCUCCAUUUUAAGAUUUCCCCUGAUGACUGAAAUAGAAGAGAUUUGUGGUUAGAUCUAAGAAUAGUACAGUUAUGAAAGAAAAAAUGCCCAAUAAAUCUGAUGAUAGCAUCUUCUAAGGAAGUGAUCUCAAUCCCUUCUUUGUCACCAGCAAGGGACAGGGCAGGAAUUUUUCCUGCCCAGGACUAAGCUGACCAAUGAAUUUCUUCCAAGCUACAGAUUCUACCUCUGCAUCCUUGGCCUGCUCCCUGCCCCCGCUCCACCUUUAAGCUAUCAUCACCUGUUGGGAUGUUGUGGUUUAGAGGGCACGCCAGCCUGUCCUAGCCCUGCUCUACUCUGACUCCUGCUCAGUAGGAAGUGAAGAGUCUCCCUGACAUCCUUCUCCUGCUCCCUGCUACAACACACUCUGAAAGCUCUGAGCUGUGAGCAAAAUCUCCCCUUCUGACAGACUGACUGGUCUAAGAAAAGAAAGGAUGAGGUGAAUCCAUCGAAUCAGAAAAGAGAUCAGUGGCCGUGUUGCUCUUGGGAUGAAAUGGGCAGAUCACGUGACAGUCGACUGAGCACCACUCCAGAGUCAGCUAGGAUGAUGGAUGUGAUGGAAACUUGGGAUAUGCCACACUACAGACCCUAGAAUCCGUUUACUUCAUGACUAUGCUUACUGAUGUCAGCGACACUAAAGAGGGGGUGUCUUUGUUAACAUAGACUUUUUAUUAAAGAUUCAUUUUGCUGU